UACGUAGGGUGCAAGCGUUGUCCGGAAUUAUUGGGCGUAAAGAGCUCGUAGGCGGUUUGUCGCGUCUGCUGUGAAAACCCGAGGCUCAACCUCGGGCCUGCAGUGGGUACGGGCAGACUAGAGUGCGGUAGGGGAGAUUGGAAUUCCUGGUGUAGCGGUGGAAUGCGCAGAUAUCAGGAGGAACACCGGUGGCGAAGGCGGGUCUCUGGGCAACAACUGACGCUGAGGAGCGAAAGCGUGGGGAGCGAACAGG
RNAcentral lists this ribosomal RNA (253 nucleotides) under uncultured bacterium. RNAcentral's name for it is "partial 16S ribosomal RNA". It matches the Rfam family "Bacterial small subunit ribosomal RNA", at positions 524 to 776 of the family's 1533-position model. The record is from RNAcentral.